UUGGGAGGGGUUGCCUCUCCCUGUGUCCACACAUAUGCCUUGAGUUGCUCUUCAGUGAAUAUCACUUUUCCUUUCAUGUUUUUUCUACAUGCUAUUAUCUGUAUGAAAUGAAGACCAAGAAAGGAUGGGAAGAAGGAGAAGAAAAAUUUUGAUUUAUCUCAGAAACUAUACUCCGAAGUGAGAGUCCUGGUUGCAGGAUCAUCACAUUUUGGAGUUCUCAGUCCUGUGUACAAAGUCCAACUAUCUGAGGCCACCAUGCACUUAGGAUGUCCAGGCCACCUGGAGAGGCUACCAGAUAUGUGUAUGAAGAAGUUGUCUUGAAAGUGGAUCUUCCAGCCCAUGUUAUUCUAGCUACAGCUGUUUGAGUCUCCUUGUACAAGCCCCAGACAUCAUGGAAUGGAGAAGAGCUGAGCCACGGUGUCCUCUCCAAAUUCUCAAUCCACAAAACUCAUGAAAAUAAUAAAAUGAUUGUGUCUUUGUGCUACUAAAUUUAGGGAAAUUUGUUAUUCAGCAAAGAUGAUUAGAACAAGAGACCACAAUUUGACUAUCAUAUUUCAGAAAUGACACAGAUCCAGAGAGGUUAAAUAAAUCAUUUUAUUCAAAUGA
RNAcentral lists this long non-coding RNA (606 nucleotides) under Homo sapiens (human). RNAcentral's name for it is "HSALNT0329053". The record is from RNAcentral. Lineage: Eukaryota; Metazoa; Chordata; Mammalia; Primates; Hominidae.